RNAcentral lists this long non-coding RNA (853 nucleotides) under Pan troglodytes (chimpanzee). Its description in RNAcentral is "long non-coding RNA NONPTRT012187". The record is from RNAcentral. Lineage: Eukaryota; Metazoa; Chordata; Mammalia; Primates; Hominidae.
AAUCCUCCCACUUUGGCAUCCCAAAGUGCUAAGGUUACAGGCAUGAGCCACCAUGCCCAGCAGAAAUUAUUUAGCUUAAACUUUCAUACUAGAAGAAAUGGAAAGGUUAACAAAGACCCUUCAUAGUAUUAAUCUUCUCUGAUUCCAUGAUGAGAUUAAUCUGACAAACAUUUAUAGGGCACCCAUUCUAUAAAAGCCACCAAGGGCCAGGCAUGGUGGCUCACGCCUGUAAUCCCAGCACUUUGGGAGGCCAAGGCAGGGGGAUCACAAAGUCAGGAGUUCGAGACCAGCCUGACCAACAUGGUGAAACCCUGUCUCUACUAAAAAUACAAAAAUUAGUCAGGUGUGGUAGCAUGCAUCUGUAGUCCCAGUUACAGGAGGCUGAGGCAGGAGAAUCGUUUGAACCCAGAGGUAGAGGCUGCAGUGAGAUGAGAUCUUGCCACUGCACUAUAACCUGGGCGACUGAGUGAGACUCCGUCUCAAAAAAAAAAAAAAAAAAGGCACCAAGGUAGUACCAAGGUUGUACAGUAUAUCUGAAAGUAGACAUACAGUAAGUAAACCAUAAUAUCAUAGGCAUGAUAUAAGUCUAAAUAUUCAUAGCCAUAACUCCUACUCAAUUUAAGGAAGGCAAAAAUGUUUUUCAGUUUAGAGACAAUUCAAAAAUCCCUGCCAGACCUAUCUAGAGAGAAAACUCAGAAAGACAAAUUUAGAAAAACAUCUAAGUGCUAAAAUAAAACAGAAGUAAAAACUUCUUAAUCUCAAACUCUGGAAUAUAUCUAUCAUAUAACUAUGUAAACCAGCUGUUAUAGAAAAUUCACUUCAUUAUCUAUGGAGCAAAAAGAUAAACACUAUG